Molecule: ribosomal RNA, 128 nt
Filed under: Cohnella sp. CFH 77786
Lineage: Bacteria; Bacillati; Bacillota; Bacilli; Caryophanales; Paenibacillaceae
Description: partial 23S ribosomal RNA
Rfam family: Bacterial large subunit ribosomal RNA
Source: RNAcentral
AGGUUAAGCUAAUAAGGGCGCACGGUGGAUGCCUAGGCGCCAGGAGCCGACGAAGGACGCGACGAACAGCGAUAUGCUUCGGGGAGCCGUAAGUGGGCUUUGAUCCGGAGAUUUCCGAAUGGGGAAAC